Molecule: long non-coding RNA, 1824 nt
Organism: Ricinus communis (castor bean)
Lineage: Eukaryota; Viridiplantae; Streptophyta; Magnoliopsida; Malpighiales; Euphorbiaceae
Exons: 4
Source: RefSeq, a predicted model, not a curated record
GUUCUAUUUGGAUAACACAUCAUACAAAAGAAGAAAGAAAAAAUAAAAAAAAGGGGGUAAAGAUUUGAUUAGAUGUACGAAUUGGGUUUCUUAAAGUAAAUAUUAAAGUAUAAAUGGUGCACAUUUAAAACUGUCACAAAUCCAAAUCCAUAGCUUAUCAAAUAAAAUCAAAUCCCUUAUACAUUAAGCAACAAUUAUUGUACGGAUACAUAGAUGCAAAAUGAAAAAGAAAAGAAAUACAAAAUGUGGUAAAUUCCAACGGUAAAAAAAAAAAUUAAGGAUUUUCUUUGAAUUUGAGGAAGAGGAAAAUGUAGCUAAUUAGGAAGUUUUUUUUUACCGUUGAUAAGGAAUAUUAAGGGUCCAUUCUCAUUACAGAAUCCCAAACGCUCUUUUCCUCUCUACCAUUCUCUCGAUCCCUCCUCUCCUUUUUCCGUCGAGAUGUCCAGUGCCACCGUCAUAGCCGUUCCUCGUCGGUCCGUUUUAGUUUGAUUGUUGUUACUUUCUUGUUUAAACCGGGGAAAUGGGUUUAUUUUCAAGCAUUUGAAUUUUGAGGAAGAGGAAAAUGUAGCUAAUUAGGAAAUUUUUUACCGUUCAUGCGUAAAUACUAAGGGUCCAUUCUCAUAAGAGCAUCUGAAACGUUCUUUUCCCUCAAUUAUUUUCCUUUCACUCAGCUGUGAAACCCAUAAUGAAUCCUGCGAUUCUCCUAGGGCUGAAAUCCUCAAUUUUCAGUUUUAAUCAACACGCCUCUCUUUUGUUCCUUGUUCCUGUGAUGCUACCUAUUCUUCUGUAGAUUUAGUUUGAUUGUUGUUACUUUCUUGUUUAAACCGGGGAAAUGGGUUUAUUCUCAAGCAUUUGACAUAAAACUGUUGCAUACCGGAGCAAUCAUGGAAAGAAGAGAAGAAAAUAAUAACUCUGGACUUUCUAAAUCUGUUUCAUAUUUCUUAGUUCUUAUUCUUCAAAUGGGUUUAAUGAAGUUUUCGUGUGCGAUCAGUUUCUUUAAUUUCUUGCAUCUCUUAAUAAUUCUUUAGAAUGGGAUGUGGACAACUUUCAGGGAAAACCGUCUUCAUGUUGUUUUUCUAUUUAUAGGGUACAUUAUGAUCAAGGUCUUGGAGGAAGUUGAAGAGGUAUCACCGGAGCUUCUGUCCCCUAUCUUGGGCAGUUUAAGAAAGGAGAACCAUGUGAUUUCUAUUCUUUUUCCUUUUAAAGUGGUAUAUUGAUUUGCUGAUCAGAUAAUUAUUUUCUUUUUCUCCUCCACCAGAGUGUUCUGCCUAUUACGUGGAAGCUGGGUGAUAGAGUGUUUGAAAAUUGUGUUUCAAAGCUUGUACCCUACAUGCGUCAAGGGGUGCAAUAUAUGGGCUUUCCUUUAGAUGAUUAUGGUAAACUUGUUGCCUAUAUAUGUGCGCAAAAUCGUGGGACUCCGGAUCACAAUAAAGUAAAUUCUUUUCAAGAGCAGUUGCAAUCAAGGAAUUUGUAAUUCAUCUUCAGUCAACCCGUUUCUCAAGUCUGAACAUGUUUGUUCUCAACAAUGGAGAGGUAGAAAAAUCAGAUAAGGAAAAUCUAGGAUGAAAAAGGCUUAUUUAGCUCCGGAUGAUGGUAAACCUUUUGUUGCGAAUUUGAUUGGUUCCAGAAUCAAAGUCUGGUGUGCAGAAGAACAUGUAAGUUGGUUCGGGGACUUCAUAAACCAUAGCAGGUUGCUUAUGAUAAUACUCAGUUCUUGUAAUUUUUGCUUCUGUGUAUCUGUUUCCUAUACUCUUUAAUAGUACUACUACGUACACUUGGGUAAAAGUUCAUUUGGUCAGUAUGAAAAUAUUUUACAGGAGUAGA